GACGAACGCUGGCGGCGCGCCUAAUACAUGCAAGUCGAGCGAGAACCAGGGCUUGCCCUGGGGAGAGCGGCGAACGGGUGCGUAUCACGUGAGCAACCUGCCUCAGAGACCGGGAUAACUCGAGGAAACUCGGGCUAAUACCGGAUGCCCUCGGUGGACCGCAUGGUCCGGCGAGGAAAUGGAUUCCGCUCUGAGAUGGGCUCGCGGCCUAUCAGCUUGUUGGUGGGGUAACGGCCUACCAAGGCGACGACGGGUAGCUGGUCUGAGAGGACGAUCAGCCACACUGGGACUGAGACACGGCCCAGACUCCUACGGGAGGCAGCAGUAGGGAAUCUUGCGCAAUGGGGGAAACCCUGACGCAGCGACGCCGCGUGCGGGAUGAAGGCCUUCGGGUCGUAAACCGCUUUCAGCAGGGACGAAAUUGACGGUACCUGCAGAAGAAGGCCCGGCCAACUACGUGCCAGCAGCCGCCGUAA
This 476-nucleotide ribosomal RNA is filed under the name uncultured bacterium. RNAcentral describes it as "partial 16S ribosomal RNA". It matches the Rfam family "Bacterial small subunit ribosomal RNA", at positions 28 to 523 of the family's 1533-position model. The record is from RNAcentral.